Molecule: unclassified non-coding RNA, 478 nt
Filed under: Hevea brasiliensis (rubber tree)
Lineage: Eukaryota; Viridiplantae; Streptophyta; Magnoliopsida; Malpighiales; Euphorbiaceae
Source: RNAcentral
AGAAGUUAGGCUGAAAUCUCCAAGUGUUGAUUUUGAUUCUGAAUCCGACGAAUUGAAUGAUUCUAAUGGCAAAAAAGAAUGAUGCGAAAUUGCUAUUACAGAAUAAGAAAUCAACAAAGAAGAAAAUUUGGAACAAUCAUAGCAACUGGUGCUCGCUUGCAUGAGACAGUGCCGCUCUAGCCAAGCAAUGAGCUCUGCCAUCAGCUCGCCUCCUUACCCACUGCAAGGACAAAUUACAAUCCUGCUGUAUCAAUGCUCUGCAAUCUUUUAUGACUAUGCCAUACUCAGACCAAUCGUCUUCAAAAGAAACAAUCGCAAAGAAAACCUCCUGUGAGUCAAUCUCAAACUUGAAACCUCCCAUCCAAUUUUUUUAACGUUUUAAAGAGAACAUAUUAAUUUCUUUUAUAUAAAAUAAAAAUAUCAUAUAUGUUCAAAUGAGAUGACUAAUUUAUGUACGAAUAAAAAUUAUAAAUAUUGC